RNAcentral lists this ribosomal RNA (397 nucleotides) under uncultured bacterium. RNAcentral's name for it is "partial 16S ribosomal RNA". It matches the Rfam family "Bacterial small subunit ribosomal RNA", at positions 523 to 918 of the family's 1533-position model. The record is from RNAcentral.
CUACGUAGGGGGCGAGCGUUAUCCGGAAUGAUUGGGCGUAAAGGGCGCGUAGGCGGCCCGGUAAGUCUGGAGUGAAAGUCCUGUUUUUAAGAUGGGAAUUGCUUUGGAUACUGUCGGGCUUGAGUGACGGAGAGGCAAGAGGAAUUCCCAGUGGAGUGGGGAAAUGCGUAGAGAUUGGGAGGAACAACAGUGGCGAAGGCGACUUACUGGACUGUAACUGACGCUGAGGCGCGAAAGUGUGGGGAGCAAACAGGAUUAGAUACCCUGGUAGUCCACACUGUAAACGAUGAAUGCUAGGUGUAGGGGGUAUCGACCCCUUCUGUGCCGCAGUCAACACAAUAAGCAUUCCGCCUGGGGAGUACGGCCGCAAGGUUGAAACUCAAAUGAAUUGACGGGG